ACGAACGCUGGCGGCGUGCUUAACACAUGCAAGUCGCACGGAAAGGCCCUGCUUUUGUGGGGUGCUCGAGUGGCGAACGGGUGAGUAACACGUGAGUAACCUGCCCUUGACUUUGGGAUAACUUCAGGAAACUGGGGCUAAUACCGGAUAGGAGCUCCUGCUGCAUGGUGGGGGUUGGAAAGUUUCGGCGGUUGGGGAUGGACUCGCGGCUUAUCAGCUUGUUGGUGGGGUAGUGGCUUACCAAGGCUUUGACGGGUAGCCGGCCUGAGAGGGUGACCGGCCACAUUGGGACUGAGAUACGGCCCAGACUCCUACGGGAGGCAGCAGUGGGGAAUAUUGCACAAUGGGCGGAAGCCUGAUGCAGCAACGCCGCGUGCGGGAUGACGGCCUUCGGGUUGUAAACCGCUUUCGCCUGUGACGAAGCGUGAGUGACGGUAAUGGGUAAUGAAGCACCGGCUAACUACGUG
RNAcentral lists this ribosomal RNA (467 nucleotides) under uncultured bacterium. Its description in RNAcentral is "partial 16S ribosomal RNA". It matches the Rfam family "Bacterial small subunit ribosomal RNA", at positions 29 to 507 of the family's 1533-position model. The record is from RNAcentral.